UGGGGAAUUGUUCGCAAUGGGCGCAAGCCUGACGACGCAACGCCGCGUGGAGGAUGAAGAUCUUCGGGUCGUAAACUCCUUUCGAUCGAGACGAACGGCUUCCGGGUGAACAAUCCGGGAGAGUGACGGUACCGAGAGAAGAAGCCCCGGCUAACUCCGUGCCAGCAGCCGCGGUAAUACGGGGGGGGCAAGCGUUGUUCGGAAUUACUGGGCGUAAAGGGCUCGUAGGCGGCCAACUAAGUCAUACGUGAAAUCCCUCGGCUUAACCGGGGAACUGCGUCUGAUACUGGAUGGCUUGAGAUUGGGAGAGGGAUGCGGAAUUCCAGGUGUAGCGGUGAAAUGCGUAGAUAUCUGGAGGAACACCGGUGGCGAAGGCGGCAUCCUGGACCAACACUGACGCUGAGGAGCGAAAGCCAGGGGAGCAAACGG
Molecule: ribosomal RNA, 429 nt
Filed under: uncultured bacterium
Lineage: Bacteria
Description: bacterial SSU rRNA
Rfam family: Bacterial small subunit ribosomal RNA
Source: RNAcentral